RNAcentral lists this long non-coding RNA (2826 nucleotides) under Homo sapiens (human). RNAcentral's name for it is "HSALNT0063699". The record is from RNAcentral. Lineage: Eukaryota; Metazoa; Chordata; Mammalia; Primates; Hominidae.
UUGUCUUGCCUGCCCAAAUGUAAGACAUGCCUUUGUUCCUCUUUCACCUUCCACCAUGACUGUGAGGCCUCCUCAGCCAUGUGGAACUACAGAUCUCACAUUCAUGUUAACUGGUUUAUUUUGAAGCAUAACAUUUCAUCAAGGUGUAUACCUGUAUGUGAAUAUUUAACAAUUUAGAAACUGAAACAGAUGCAGAUGAAGAAUGACCUACUUGAAAAUUUACCAGCCAAGCCUGUAAGCUGUGUAGAGUAAUGUCAACACAAAGGAAAUAUCAAUUCAAGUGGAUUCCAAUGUGCAAUCACAGUCAUUAGUAUGGAUUGGUGUCAAACUUUCAAGCAUUUGCCUUGUUUAUUGAACAACCUAAUAAUUCAAAAUGGUAAUGGGAAGAGGGUGGAGUAGGAAAAUAAGGAUAGACUCUGAAACCAAGGUCCUUAGGGCUUCUAUAUGAAUUUCAGAAUUACUGUCAAAUAAAUAUUUAUUGGUGUCCUUUCUCUUGUAUGUAGACAAUAAGUACACAUACAGAUAGCUGUCUAAAAAUUAAGUGUUAAGCUGGAAUUAGAUAUUGAAAUUGAGUACCAAUAUUAUCUUUAGUCAAUUUCCCUUAGGAUACUAUUUUGUGAAGAGAAAAUAUUAUUCAUGUGCAUAUUAAUUAAAGCUUUUAAAAUGAUCACUGAAAAUGUAUCCUCUGACCUGCAGAGUAUAUCCAGUGUAUGUUCUUAAGUCCUGGUGCUAGAUGCAAAUUAAAGAUGAGUAAUGCAAAUUGAAAUUUCCAUGAAAUGAAUCAUUCUACAUAAUGAGCUUUACAAAUUCCACAUUUUAUGCAAUACCAAAAAUAAAAAAAUAAAAAAUAAAACUCAAAUGCUUACCAAGCUAAAUGAUGCUGAAACUGUUUAUCAGCUGAAGAAUGGCAGCCAGCAAUUAAAAACAGUCAAGCUUUGCAGAAAGCAGCAAGAUAUUUAAAGAGCAGAUAUUUUACAAAUAUCAUAAGAAAAAGAAAAUGUCUAGAACUCUUUUAUAUAUGUUAAAAUAGAAAACUAAGGAAGAAAGGAAAUUUUUACAAGCAAAAUCAUUACAACACAUUUUAAAAAUCCACAAAACAAUGGUAAAAUAGUAUUAUGUAUCCUUAACUUUUAUGUUUUCAGAAUAGAUUAUAAUGACCAUAUAAUUGACUCUUCGAUGUAACUCCACUCUGGCCCUCCAUUUACAAGUUAUUUAAGGUUUCUGGAAACCUCAGGUUAUUCACAUGUAAGUGGAUUUCUAUGAGAAUGAAACAAAAUAAUAAGUGUUUAAUAUCAGGCUAACCAAAUGGCACAUAGAAUCCUCACAUAAUAGGUGUUCAGUAAAUGUUGCUUUUUUAUGUUCCUCUAUUGUAACCCAUUUAGUCAACAUAUGAGAAAAAUAAAAAUUACAACUACAUCCACCACUCCAAAAAUGAUUACAUUCAUAGUUAACUAUGUCCCUACUAUCUCUAUUCUUAGAUAAGGUCAUAACACAAAAUAGCUACCCCUUCUAGAAUAAUUGAUCAAAUAAGGAAUGUCCGUUGAAACCGUAAAACAUGAAAGGAGCGUAGAUACACAUAAGGUAAACAAUUUAUAAUUUUUAUUCGUGUUAGGUUAACACUAGCCCCCAUAACAGAUAACACCAAAAUAUCAAAAGCUUAAUAUAAUUUUAUUUUUCACUAAAUUCUAAUUGUUGGUGGGAAGAGGUUUGUGCUGCUUGAUAUAUCGCCCUUUGUGGAUUCGUUGUCUCAUGAAUGAAGAAUAUGCUUCUUAUUUAAGUUUGUUUUCCAAUAUCUCCCCGAGAGUCAUCCUCAAUUCAGCAGGAAGGGGGAACUGCAAACUCAGUAUAGAGUACGAGAUGUGUCAAGUUGUGUUAGAAUAAUCCUGAAAAAGGCUUACAUCACUUAUCUCCAUACAUCAGUGGCCAAGGCUUACUCUUUUGGCCAUAACUAAUUGCAAGGGAGACUAAAACCAAAGGGAAAAUUGUUACUGGACCUCCUAAUUUAUCUGUUCCUAAGAAAAGUCAGAAUUGAAUACAUAGAUAGCAAACAUAUAGUCUUUUUAUAUGGUUAUGUGUAUAAUAUACUCUUAAAAUAUUUUAUAAUCAUAUGCUUGUUACAAAAUAAGGAGCUUUUGUCAGUGCAUAUUCAUUAUCACAGUGAAUAUGCAGUAUUGAAUCUUAAAAUAAUAUUUUAUUUAAAGAGAUGAAUAUUCUGGAUUGUGACAUAUGUAUACAAAAGGUUGGGAAUCCAAUUAAUAACCUUUAUAAUCUGUAUUAUAUAAAUGCAGUACUUCCCAUUAUUAAUGGUAGUUUCUAGUAUGAGUGAGGGCAAAUAAAAACAUUAGACACAAAAUAGUAAUUUUGACAGGCCUUAAUCCAACUAUAAGCACAUUUUAAAAGUUUCUUAGGUUUGACAUAUUUAUCUAAGAAACAAAAGGAAUACUUAUAAGUUAAUUAAGAACAAAAGUUGAAUAUUAAAAAUUAAACUUACCUUCAUCCACAUUAUCUGAUAUAUUUAAAUAUUUUACUUAUCCACUUAAAAUUUAUUGUGCAAAGGGUGUUACAAUUUUUUCAGAUAAAAUCUUUCUGAGUUCAAAAAAAUGUGUUUGAACAUAGUAAAUAAAAUUUAUGUUUUCUAUGUGCCAAUAUUCUCCACUAAAUUUAGAAUUAAACAAUUGACUUGAGAUCUUACAUUAGUUAAUGUUAUAAUUUCCACAAUUUAAGAUUUAAGAAACUAUAAGAAAUCUAAUAAAGAGACAAGAUAUGAUACAUGGCUUAUAAAGAAUUAAGAAAUACUUAAUUCUUUAUAAUAGAAUUGCUUAAAAA